RNAcentral lists this ribosomal RNA (249 nucleotides) under Pleurotaceae sp. Its description in RNAcentral is "partial 28S ribosomal RNA". It matches the Rfam family "Eukaryotic large subunit ribosomal RNA", at positions 104 to 344 of the family's 3401-position model. The record is from RNAcentral. Lineage: Eukaryota; Fungi; Basidiomycota; Agaricomycetes; Agaricales; Pleurotaceae.
AAAGCUCAAAUUUAAAAUCUGGUGGUUCUUGUAGCCAUCCGAAUUGUAAUUUAGAGAAGUGUUAUCCGCGCUGGACCGUGUACAAGUCUCCUGGAAUGGAGCGUCAUAGAGGGUGAGAAUCCCGUCUUUGACACGGACUACCAGGGCUUUGUGAUGCGCUCUCGAAGAGUCGAGUUGUUUGGGAAUGCAGCUCAAAAUGGGUGGUAAAUUCCAUCUAAAGCUAAAUAUUGGCGAGAAACCGAUAGCGCA